Molecule: ribosomal RNA, 544 nt
Filed under: Malassezia globosa
Lineage: Eukaryota; Fungi; Basidiomycota; Malasseziomycetes; Malasseziales; Malasseziaceae
Description: LSU rRNA
Rfam family: Eukaryotic large subunit ribosomal RNA
Source: RNAcentral
AAGAGCUCAAAUUUGAAAUCUGGCCCUCCGGCGUCCGCCUUGUAAUCUCUAGACGAAGUUUCCGUGGGGGGCUAUGGCCAAGUGCCUUGGAAGGGGAGAUCGUACAGGGAGAGAUCCCGUACUUGCCAUGGAUGUCCGCCGCUUUGCGAUACAUGCUCCCUCAAUCAAGUUGUUUGGGAUUGCUGCUCAAAAUGGUGGGUGGACUCCUUCAAAAGCUAAUAAUCGCGGAGAGACGAAUGGCAACCAACAACCGGAAGGAAAAAAUGAAAAGCACUUUGGAAAAAAAGUAAAAAGUACGUGAAAUUGUUGAAAGGGAAGCACUUGCAGUCAGCCAUGCCCCUCAGGACUCACCCUGCUUUUUGCUUGGCGUAUUUCCUGGGUAGGGGCGGGCCAUUGGCUUGGAGGGCGGGAGAAGCAUAGCCGCAAUGUGGCGCCCUCGGGCGGGUUAUCUCCUUCUAUUGGAUACAACGAUCUCCACCCAGAAACACGAACUGCCUUAUGGACGGUCUUCGGACUCCUGCUCGCUAACGAUGCUGAUGGAAUG